RNAcentral lists this ribosomal RNA (468 nucleotides) under uncultured bacterium. Its description in RNAcentral is "partial 16S ribosomal RNA". It matches the Rfam family "Bacterial small subunit ribosomal RNA", at positions 28 to 507 of the family's 1533-position model. The record is from RNAcentral.
GACGAACGCUGGCGGCGUGCUUAACACAUGCAAGUCGAACGGUAAGGCCCUUCUUUGUUGGCGUGCUCCAAUCGCGAACGUAUCACUAACAUGUUCUUCACUUGCCCUCGGCUUUAGCAUGACUUCAUGAAUCUGGUACUAAUACCGGCUUCCUGCUCCUUCUGCAUGGUUGGGGUUGUAUAGUUUCGGCGGUUGGGGAUGGACUCGCGGCUUAUCAGCUUGUUGGUGGGGUAGUGGCUUACCAAGGCGUUGACGGGUAGCCGGCCUGAGAGGGUGACCGGCCACACUGGGACUGAGAUACGGCCCAGACUCCUACGGGAGGCAGCAGUGGGGAAUAUUGCACAAUGGGCGGAAGCCUGAUGCAGCAACGCCGCGUGAGGGAUGACGGCCUUCGGGUUGUAAACCGCUUUCGCCAGGGACGAAGCGUGAGUGACGGUAAUGGGAGAAGAAGCACCGGCUAACUACGUG